GUUGCAGGAAUGCCAACGAUCAAUAUACAUUAUAUACAUAAAUGGCAUUGUUAAAUUGCAAAAAAUUCAAUACAUAACCUAAAAAUUAGGAAAAACUAAGGAAGGGGCUGAGUAUGAGGGUAGGUGAGAAUGCAAAAAGGAGUGACCUUGAGGGACUGAUUUACAAUGUUGUUAUUAUAGCAUUCUACUGGAUUGAUAGAAUGCUUUAGUACUAUUUCCUGUCUGGGUCAUAUUUAUUCUAUUACACAAUUAAUUCCUAGAGCUGAAAC
Molecule: long non-coding RNA, 269 nt
Organism: Perognathus longimembris pacificus (Pacific pocket mouse)
Lineage: Eukaryota; Metazoa; Chordata; Mammalia; Rodentia; Heteromyidae
Exons: 3
Source: RefSeq, a predicted model, not a curated record